CAAAGUUGAAGUGGAUGCAAUCAGAACUGAAUGUUGAAGAAGUGGUAAAUGACAGGAGCUGGAAGGUGUUUAAUGAACGCUGUCGAAUUCACUUCAAGCCUCCAAAGAAUGAAUAAAGAGAGAUCCUUUUUUUAAAAGAAGAACCGGGUCAUCUCAUGAGAGCUAAGCACGACAGACAUCAACAGGGUGGGCUUCUUAGGAUGAUUUCUGAGCCAACAGUCCAAGACCUUUUGUUGAUUUCAGCCCCACUUAGCCAAGACCUCAAGUCUAAAUAAUUCUGAUAAUUAUAAAAUAAUCAAUUGCUAUUUUAUACUGAUUCUGUAAAAAAGUGUUUUAUAACUAUUAAAAUAAUUUUCUGAAAAAAAAAGCAUAUUGG
This 376-nucleotide long non-coding RNA is filed under the name Marmota monax (woodchuck). Lineage: Eukaryota; Metazoa; Chordata; Mammalia; Rodentia; Sciuridae. The record is from RNAcentral.